GAUGAAGAGCGCAGCGAAAUGCGAUAAGUAAUGUGAAUUGCAGAAUUCAGUGAAUCAUCGAAUCUUUGAACGCACAUUGCGCCCUCUGGUAUUCCGGGGGGCAUGCCUGUUCGAGCGUCAUUAUAACCACUCAAGCUCUCGCUUGGUAUUGGGGUUCGCGGUUCCGCGGCCCCUAAAAUCAGUGGCGGUGCCUGUCGGCUCUACGCGUAGUAAUACUCCUCGCGAUUGAGUCCGGUAGGUCUACUUGCCAGCAACCCCCAAUUUUUACAGGUUGACCUCGGAUCAGGUAGGGAUACCCGCUGAACUUAAGCAUAUCAAUAAGCGGAGGA
This 329-nucleotide unclassified non-coding RNA is filed under the name soil metagenome. RNAcentral's name for it is "partial contains 5.8S ribosomal RNA, internal transcribed spacer 2, and large subunit ribosomal RNA". The stretch from base 1 to 120 matches the Rfam family "5.8S ribosomal RNA", at positions 35 to 154 of the family's 154-position model. The record is from RNAcentral.